This 468-nucleotide ribosomal RNA is filed under the name uncultured bacterium. RNAcentral's name for it is "partial 16S ribosomal RNA". It matches the Rfam family "Bacterial small subunit ribosomal RNA", at positions 28 to 507 of the family's 1533-position model. The record is from RNAcentral.
GACGAACGCUGGCGGCGUGCUUAACACAUGCAAGUCGAACGGAAAGGCCCUGCUUUUGUGGGGUGCCGGAGUGGCGAACGGGUGCGUAACACGUGAGUAACGGGCCCUAGACUUUGGGAUAACUUCAGGAAACUGGGGCUAAUACCGGAUAGGAGCCCAUGUUGCAGGGAGGGGGUUGGAAAGUUUCGGCGGUCGGGGAUGGACUGGCGGCUUAUCAGCUUGUUGGUGGGGUAGUGGCUUACCAAGGCUUUGACGGGUAGCCGGCCUGAGAGGGUGAACGGGCACAUUAGGACUGAGAUACGGCCCAGACUCCUACGGGAGGCAACAGUGGGGAAUAUUGCACAAUGGGCGGAAGUCUGAUGCAGCAGCGCCGCGUGCGGGAUGACGGCCUUCUGGUUGUAAACCGCUUUCGCCUGUGACGAAGCGUGAGUGACGGUAAUGGGUAAAGAAGCACCGGCUAACUACGUG